AUUGAACGCUGGCGGCAUGCCUAACACAUGCAAGUCGAACGCGAAAGGUCCUUCGGGGCUUAGUAGAGUGGCGGACGGGUGAGUAACGCGUGGGAAUCUGCCCAGUAGUGGGGGAUAACUCGGGGAAACUCGAGCUAAUACCGCAUACGCCCUACGGGGGAAAGGCUUCGGCCGCUAUUGGAUGAGCCCGCGUCAGAUUAGCUAGUUGGUAGGGUAAUGGCCUACCAAGGCGACGAUCUGUAGCUGGUCUGAGAGGACGAACAGCCACACUGGGACUGAGACACGGCCCAGACUCCUACGGGAGGCAGCAGUGGGGAAUAUUGGACAAUGGGCGAAAGCCUGAUCCAGCAAUGCCGCGUGUGUGAAGAAGGCCUGCGGGUUGUAAAGCACUUUCAGUUGGGAAGAUGAUGACGUUACCAACAGAAGAAGCACCGGCUAACUCCGUG
This 446-nucleotide ribosomal RNA is filed under the name uncultured bacterium. RNAcentral describes it as "bacterial SSU rRNA". It matches the Rfam family "Bacterial small subunit ribosomal RNA", at positions 30 to 507 of the family's 1533-position model. The record is from RNAcentral.